GACGAACGCUGGCGGCGUGCUUAACACAUGCAAGUCGAACGAAGAGCGAUGGAAGCUUGCUUCUAUCAAUCUUAGUGGCGAACGGGUGAGUAACGCGUAAUCAACCUGCCCUUCAGAGGGGGACAACAGUUGGAAACGACUGCUAAUACCGCAUACGAUCUAAUCUCGGCAUCGAGGAAAGAUGAAAGGUGGCCUCUAUUUAUAAGCUAUCACUGAAGGAGGGGAUUGCGGCUGAUUAGCUAGUUGGAGGGGUAACGGACCACCAAGGCGAUGAUCAGUAGCCGGUCUGAGAGGAUGAACGGCCACAUUGGGACUGAGACACGGCCCAGACUCCUACGGGAGGCAGCAGUGGGGAAUCUUCCGCAAGGGACGAAAGUCUGACGGAGCAACGCCGCGGGAGUGAUGACGGCCUUCGGGUUGUAAAGCUCUGUUAAUCGGGACGAAAGGCCUUCUUGCGAACAGUUAGAAGGAUUGACGGUACCGGAAUAGAAAGCCACGGCUAACUACGUG
RNAcentral lists this ribosomal RNA (510 nucleotides) under uncultured bacterium. Its description in RNAcentral is "partial 16S ribosomal RNA". It matches the Rfam family "Bacterial small subunit ribosomal RNA", at positions 28 to 507 of the family's 1533-position model. The record is from RNAcentral.